UGCAGUGAGCUGAUAUCGUGCCAUUGCACUCCAGCCUGGGCAACAAAGUGAGACUUAGUCUCAAAAAAAAAAAGAAAUACAUCUAACCAAAGAGAUGCAAUAUGUGUACAUUGACAAUUUAGAAAUACUGCUCAAAGAAAUAACAAAAGACCUAAAUGAGGAAAAACUCAUCCCAGAAUCAUAAAUCAAAAGGCUUUAGGUUAGUUCUGUCCCUCCAGAGAACCUUGACUAACACAUUCAUCCCUUUU
This 248-nucleotide long non-coding RNA is filed under the name Pongo abelii (Sumatran orangutan). RNAcentral's name for it is "lincRNA". The record is from RNAcentral. Lineage: Eukaryota; Metazoa; Chordata; Mammalia; Primates; Hominidae.